CGGAUAAAAGGUACUCCGGGGAUAACAGGCUGAUACCGCCCAAGAGUUCAUAUCGACGGCGGUGUUUGGCACCUCGAUGUCGGCUCAUCACAUCCUGGGGCUGAAGUCGGUCCCAAGGGUAUGGCUGUUCGCCAUUUAAAGUGGUACGCGAGCUGGGUUUAGAACGUCGUGAGACAGUUCGGUCCCUAUCUGCCGUGGGCGUUGGAGAAUUGAAAGGGGCUGCUCCUAGUACGAGAGGACCGGAGUGGACGAACCUCUGGUGUUCGGGUUGUGUCGCCAGACGCAUUGCCCGGUAGCUAAGUUCGGGAUCGAUAACCGCUGAAAGCAUCUAAGCGGGAAGCGAGCCUUGAGAUGAGUUCUCCCUGAUACUUUAAGUAUCCUAAAGGGUUGUCGUAGACUACGACGUUGAUAGGCAGGGUGUGUAAGCGUUGUGAGGCGUUGAGCUAACCUGUACUAAUUGCCCGUGAGGCUUAACCAU
RNAcentral lists this ribosomal RNA (478 nucleotides) under Vibrio alginolyticus. Its description in RNAcentral is "partial 23S ribosomal RNA". It matches the Rfam family "Bacterial large subunit ribosomal RNA", at positions 2453 to 2925 of the family's 2925-position model. The record is from RNAcentral. Lineage: Bacteria; Pseudomonadati; Pseudomonadota; Gammaproteobacteria; Vibrionales; Vibrionaceae.